GCCGUUUUUCAUCUCUUCCUUUCUGUAACAUUUUCGCAUUCGGCAUCAGAUUCAACCUGUUCUUAUAUAUUCUUUAUCCAGGAAGCCCUUUUAUUAUGCCACUUUUAUUUAUUUGUUUGUUUUAUGUUUUAACCUAGUUCUAGGGUUUUUCCUUUGAUAGUUUGUGUUAACGGGAGCUGAGUGUGCUUCAAUUGAGCACUUCAAUUGAAGAUUUCCUUCACCAAUUGGGUAUUUAUAGGAGAUUUGCUACUUCUUGUUUUCGGUAUCAGGUAGGGUUGAUGGCUGAUCGGAGUUCGGCCGUUGCAAAGCCGGUAUGGAUGAAGCAAGCCGAGGAGGCCAAGCUGAAGAGCGAAGCCGAGAAAGCCGCGGCAGCUAAAGCUGCUUUCGAAGCGACCUUCAAGGAUUUGGAGAAGGGUCGCGAGAAGGGCACUGUUCAAUCUGACAGUGAAUCCGAGGAAUACGAGGAUUUGGCCAAUAAGCCGAUUGGACCUGUGGAUCCUUCUAAGUGCACGGCGGCGGGUACUGGCAUUGCCGGCGGAACAGCCUGUGCUCCUUCUUCGUUCACAGUGGUCACCAAGGAUUCAGAUGAGAGGAAGGUUUCAGGUGGGGGUGCACAAGUCAAGGUGAGGGUGACGCCAGGUUUGGGCGUUGGAGGGUCUGAUCAAGAAGGGAUUGUGAAGGAUAUGGGUGAUGGAACGUAUAACGUCACUUAUGUGGUGCCCAAGAGAGGGAAUUACAUGGUCAGUGUUGAAUGUAAUGGCAAGGCAAUCAUGGGUAGUCCAUUCCCUGUGUUUUUCAGUGCAGGCAAUAGUAGUGGAGGGCUGCUGGGUUUAGCUCCGGCAUCUUCUUUUCCAAAUCUUGUUAAUCAAACUAUGCCAAACAUGCCGAACUACUCUGGGUCCGUUUCAGGGGCAUUCCCAGGAUUACUGGGAAUGAUUCCAGGGAUUGUUGCUGGAGCUUCUGGGGGUGCUAUUUUGCCUGGAAUUGGGGCCUCAUUAGGGGAAGUUUGCCGUGAUUAUCUUAAUGGGCGAUGUAUAAAAGUCGAUUGUAAGUUGAAUCACCCACCUCAUAAUUUGCUAAUGACUGCAUUAGCCGCAACGACCUCAAUGGGAACACUUAGCCAAGCUCCUAUGGCUCCGUCUGCUGCUGCAAUGGCUGCUGCACAGGCAAUAGUUGCUGCCCAAGCACUUCAAGCCCAUGCAGCUCAGGUGCAAGCGCAGUCUGUAAAAGAUUCCACUGGCUCACCUGAAAAAGCUGGUAAGGAUGAUGCAUUGAAGAAAACUCUCCAAGUUAGCAAUCUGAGUCCACUUCUCUCUGUUGAACAGCUAAAACAACUCUUUGGCUUCUGUGGCACAGUUGUUGAAUGCACAAUUGCUGAUUCAAAGCAUUUUGCUUAUAUAGAAUAUUCAAAACCUGAAGAGGCUACUGCUGCUCUGGCGUUAAAUAACAUAGAUGUUGGUGGCCGGCCUUUGAAUGUUGAGAUGGCAAAAUCUCUUCCACAAAAACCAUCUGUUGUGAAUUCUUCCCUUGCUUCGUCAUCUCUUCCUUUGAUGAUGCAGCAAGCUGUGGCAAUGCAGCAGAUGCAAUUCCAGCAAGCUCUGCUUAUGCAACAAACCAUGACUGCACAGCAGGCUGCCAAUAAAGCCGCCACCAUGAAGUCUGCAACAGAGUUAGCGGCAGCCCGAGCUGCUGAAAUAAGUAAGAAACUGAAAGCUGAUGGACCUGAAAUUGAAGAGAAAGAAACAAAACAGAAAUCCAGGUCUCCUUCUCCUCCUCGUGCAAGAUCUCGAUCAAAGUCAAGAUCUCCUGUUAGUUAUCGAAGAAGGAGGAGGUCUCGUUCCUACUCUCCUGCUCGUUACAAUAGGGGUCGUCGGUCCAGAUCGCCAGUCAGGUCCCAUCAUUAUUCAAGCUAUGAAAGGGAUCGAAGGUCCUAUAGAGACAUCAGAGAACACAGUGAUAGAAGCAGAAGACGGGAUUCAGAUAGAUACCUUGAUCGGCAUUCAUCUGCUUCAAGAAGGAAUAGGAGUAGGAGCGUGAGCCCUCAUUCAAGGAAAUUACAUCGAACUGAAUCUAUUUCUCCAAAACAUCACAGAGAAAGUUCACCUCAUAGAGGAAGGAAAGAAUCACGUGCUGAUUCUGGAUCCCCAAGUCAUCGCAGAGGUAGUAAGUCAUCUCCCAAGAUUGAUGAAAUCAAACAAGAGAGCAAAAGACGCUCAAGAUCAGUUUCUUCAGAUGAUAAUAGGCUUCAAUCCAGCAAAAAUGAAGAAGUCCUGCAUGGAAAAUCUAAAAAUAGAGAGAGAAGACGGUCCAGGUCAGUAUCUGUCGAGGAGAAGCCUUACAGGAGGAGCCGAUCAUCCCCAAGAAGAGUGGAUGAAAGUAGAUCUAGGCAUAAUAAACGGUCAAGAUCGAAAUCUGUGGAUGAUAAGCAGCGCUUGCCUGAGAAAUCAGAUGAAAGCAAGCAUAGAAGGUCAAGGCCUAGUGAUAAAAGGCGUUCCAGAUCAAGAUCAACAGAAAGUAAGAAUGAAAUUGAUGAAAGAGAGGAUGAAAAAAAGAUCAAAACUGAUAGGUCAAAGCAUCAUCACACUAAAAGAAACAGGUCAAGAUCUGUUGAAGGGAAGCAUCGCACUAAAGAUAAAUCAGGUGAUAGUAAAGAUAAAAAAUCAAAGCAUCGCAAUAGAAGACGUUCCAGGUCAAUAUCAUUAGAGGUUGAGCAUAACAAUGGAGGCAGCUCAUCACAUAAAGAAUUGGAUGAAAGCAAUUUUGAACAGAGAAAACUUAGGUCUAAGUCCCCUGAAGGAAAGCGUCACACUGGUGAUAAAUAUGGAAGCAGAUAUGAAAGAUCAGAGCAUCAAGAGAAAUCCCUAUCUAAAUCAAAAUCAGGAAAUCACAACCCAGUUGAAUGUGAUGGUAAUGGGCUCUCCCCACGAGUUAUGGAGGAGUACGAAUCUAAGGGAAUAACACAAACUGAUUCUGGAUUUAUGGAAGGUAAACAUCAUUUGAAUGAUGGAGAAAAUGCUACUAGCAAUAUAAAUUCAAAAGUUCAUGAAGAUGCUGUGCAGGAACCAACUAUAAAUUUAAAGAUGGCAAAGGCAAAUGAUAGUGGGAAUUGGGUUUCACCAAACAAAACCUGCAAGUCAGAAGGGUCAAGUGAAAAUGCUGGAGCUGAUUAUAACCAAGACCGUAUGUGCGGUGAAGAAGCAAGAAGUGGAAGAUAUUAAGCACUCUCUAUUUGGAGUGGGAAUAUAAAUGAUUUCAAAGAUUCAACCUGGCUUUUGACUAUGCUAAUGGACAUUAUUGUGACAUAGAUCUGUCAUUUCAUCCGGAACCAAAAGUGGCACCUACUUAUCAGAGAAGCCAUGUUACACAAGGCUGAUUUGGUUUCAUAGUGCUGUCAUAUAUUGUUUCACUACAAGAGCAUUGCAGGAAUCAUGGUUGAAGAUUUUUUCACCCGUCAAUGAUUAUGGCGCAUAUUCUAAUUAAGGAUUCUCAUUAAGUUUACUGAACUAAUUCCUUCCAAGGAAUAGACAGUUUCUUCUUAGUAGAAAUCACAAUUCUCAGAGGAUGCUUCGCUAUUUGAUUUGGUUCCCAGAAUAUUCUGUGUUAGCUGAUGAACAAAUUCAAUUGAUUAUUUCCUUUUUUCAGGUUGGGUUGGAACAAAGAUCAGAUAUAGAAUCUGAGCUGUGAUGUGGUUUAAGGUUUCAAGAAGUGUCGUGAAUUUGUCAUGAUCAGCCACGCAGCGCUUAUAUAUCAUGCUUCUUUUACUGCUUGAUUGAUGUUAUUCACGUUGAAAUCUGUUCGAGCUUUGAGAUAAAGUUUUGCUGGGUUGGUUUCUCUUGUGUAAAAUGAAGAAAUUAUUAUGGUUAGGUAAAGCUUCUAUUUAAGGUCAAGUGAACCUGGAUGUUGCUGCAAUGAGUUACUUCAUGUUGCAUUUGAGCAAAUUGGGCAGAGUUACAGUUUUUACUUAAGUAAAUGCUGAAAAGCAAAUAUUGAUUUGAACAGGGUAAGCUGUGGAUAUGAUGAUCUUAUGAGCAGUUGCAGCAUCUUCGUCCAGAUUAUUAUUCGAAGUUCUUGGAAGUUGUGUGCUUUUAGAUUUCUAUUUCGUUGUGGGUAGAAUAUUUGAAUAGAAUCGUUAUCUCUAUGCAUCAAGUGCUCGACUCACUAAUGUUUCCCCGUCAA
RNA transcript from Arachis duranensis, 4176 nucleotides. RefSeq lists it as uncharacterized. The transcript is spliced from 9 exons. The record is from RefSeq and is a predicted model, not a curated record. NCBI's taxonomy places the organism in Eukaryota, Viridiplantae, Streptophyta, Magnoliopsida, Fabales, Fabaceae.